RNAcentral lists this ribosomal RNA (529 nucleotides) under uncultured bacterium. Its description in RNAcentral is "bacterial SSU rRNA". It matches the Rfam family "Bacterial small subunit ribosomal RNA", at positions 32 to 518 of the family's 1533-position model. The record is from RNAcentral.
AACGCUGGCGGCAUGCCUAAGACAUGCAAGUCGAACGAGGUGGCCCAUUGAAGGAUGCGUGCUUGCACAAAUCUGGAUUUGGAUUCCCACCUAGUGGCAGACGGGUGAGUAACACGUGGGUGACCUACCUUUAAGCUGGGGAUAACAGUUAGAAAUGAUUGCUAAUACCGAAUAAGAUAUAGGAGUCAAUCUUAUAUUGAAAGAAGCCUCUAAAGCUUCACUUAGAGAUGGGCCUGCGGCGUAUUAACUAGUUGGUGGGGUAACGGCCUACCAAGGUGACGAUGCGUAGCCGAACUGAGAGGUUGAUCGGCCACACUGGGACUGAGACACGGCCCAGACUCCUACGGGAGACAGCAGUUAGGAAUAUUCGUCAAUGGGGGAAACCCUGAACGAGCAAUGCCGCGUGAAGUGAUGAAGGUCUUUGGAUUGUAAAACUCUGUUGUAUGGAAAAAACGACUAGGUUAGGAAAUGAACUUAGUGUGAUGGUACCAUACCAGAAAGCCCCGGCUAACUACGUGCCAGCAGCGGC